Cercocebus atys (sooty mangabey) is the source of this 9503-nucleotide RNA transcript. It is a transcript of the gene named myelin protein zero-like 2, with no coding region annotated. The transcript is spliced from 10 exons. Lineage: Eukaryota; Metazoa; Chordata; Mammalia; Primates; Cercopithecidae. The record is from RefSeq and is a predicted model, not a curated record.
GGCUGACUGACGUCCAGAAAACUGUGAGGGGCAAACAUCCUUUUUCUUUAGCAUUUUCUCUUCUUAACCUUCUACCCUUGGCCUCUUCCUUGCCCAGUGAGGUGAAAUGGUUGACUGUGAAGCCACUCCUGCUAACUGGAAGCAACUGGGCGUUGCCAGGCACUAAGCCAGGAACUUGAACUCAGCAGAGAAGUGGGAUCUGGAUAACUCCUGCCCCUCAGAGCAAGGCUGGCAGCCAGCUCAUGGGCAUUUGGCUACCUGGGGGAGGGAUUUCUGCUCCUGACAACAGGCAGUUUGUUCAGUUCUUCCUGCCCUGAUUCUUCUCCUGUUGCUUUUCACUGCCUCCCUGAGCUGUUUGGUAACUCUACCUCUCACAAGUUUUUGCAGUUUGCUGUAGACUUCAAAAUCCUGGCUCUACCUCUCCUUCCUCUGUAGCUGCAUUUCCCUGCAAAGUUGGAAGCCAACCAAGAUCAAGUUUCUGUAACUCUUUUUCUUUCAGGGUCCUGGAGCUGAACUCUUCUGACCUACAUACCCGAAAGGCUGUAUCUUAUCCUUCCUCACCACCAUUUGAAAAGUUCCCACAGCAGACUGAUUUUAGGUCCCUUUCUGACCUAGAAGCUGACAAAGGCGCCAAACAGUUUUCAGAAACUCUCCCCAUGCUAACAGAUUUUCACUAGCACACAGCUGGUCUGCAUUUGGGGCAGCCUCUGUUUUCUGAGUUCCAACACAAUGGAUUUUUGUGGUUGUCUACCUGUUUUUGCUCCAUGCCCAUGACAUCUUUCUCCUGUUACUGUUUUCUGCACUUCUGUAUUCUCCUCUCUUUUGGUAGAAUUUUCUCCUUUCUUCCCUCUUUAUGAUGUUUUAUUUCUUUCUACUCACCCUGCCGCAUUCUCUUGUUCCUGCCACCCUUUUUUGCUCUGGUUUCAACUAGGAGAUUUUAUGAGUGACUGAAGAGUUUCUAGACUGCUAAUCCAGGGAUAAGGGCAAUCUAUCUCUUUUCAGGGUUAGAUUCCCAGUCCAGCCUACUUCUUAACUGCAUGUGUAAGCUUCAUCCCUCUCCUACCCAUGUUUCUGUGCUGCUUCAUUAAUCUGUAACGAUGACCCACCCUCUUUCCAGACAAGGAGACAUCUUUUCUUGUUUAGAUUACUCAGCUCUUUAGACUUCUCAGUCAGUUAGCUAUUCUAAAAAUGGCCGAUGAAAUCCGAGGCACAACAAAGUUAUUACGAAAACCUUUUCCUUGAGAGCCCCGUGUCUGAUUGCUCAUAUUAGCUGAUAUUUGGUGGAAAGAGCACUAGAUUUUUAAGAAAAGUUCUGGUUUUGCCACAUGGUAGCUGUGCAACCUUGGACAAAUCAUUUACCUUCCUCGGGUUCUUAGCGUCCUCACUGGUCAAAUGGGAAUGCUUCAUGGGGCGUUGAGGAGAUGAAAUAAUCAGCAGGAGAGCACUGUGUAGAUUGCACUGGGAUGGUAGGGUGAACGAGCAGGGAUGGUGUCCUGAUUUGUCUUUAAAUUCUUCAAAGGUAAAGGAUUGUUAAACGUGGAGAUUUGAUUUGGUUUGUUUCUGCCAGGUCUCCUGGAAAGCUACAAACUAGAAGAAGUGCAGAAAUCCUUGUGGUAACAAGGGUAUCAGCUUUUUGUCCACAGAGAGUCUUAAGGAAUUCCGACUCCCGUUUUGAAAUUGUAGCGAAUCCAAUCCCAGGGCAAUGUGGCCCUGGGGUGGUGCUUCGAGAAGUGGAAUCACUGCAGGACAGUUUCAACAUUCACUUCCCAGGCAAGCCUAAAGCCUGUUUUAAAAGGGCGUGUAGGGGCCAAACCCUUAACAGUCUGGGAUAUUUCAGACUGGCACCACCUCCUCUGGCUGUUUCCGAGGCCAUCUAGAGGCCAGAGCCCAGUCAGCUUAAAUGAAAGUAAAGAGAGGGCUGCGGGAGUUUGGGACCUUUGUGCAGAUGUGCUCAUGCUCGUUAGAGUAGAGGGCGGGAGAGAGGAAAGGAAGGAGGGCAUUGGGAGCCGAGGCCCCUCCUUUCAUUUCAGAAAAGUGCACAGGCAGAGCGGGCUGAGUCACAGGCACAGGUGAGGAACUCAACUCAAACUCCUCUCUUUGGGAAAACGCGGUGCUUGCCCCUCCCGGAGUGGCCUUGGCAGGGUGUUGGAGCCCUCGGUCUGCCCGGUCUGGUCUCUGGGGCCAAGGCUGGGUUUCCCUCAUGUAUGGCAAGAGCGCUACUCGUGCGGUGCUUCUUCUCCUUGGCAUACAGCUCACAGCUCUUUGGCCUAUAGCAGCUGUGGAAAUUUAUACCUCUCGGGUGCUGGAGGCUGUUAAUGGGACAGAUGCUCGGUUAAAAUGCACUUUCUCCAGCUUUGCCCCUGUGGGUGAUGCUCUAACAGUGACCUGGAAUUUUCGUCCUCUAGAUGGGGGACCUGAGCAGUUUGUAUUCUACUACCACAUAGAUCCCUUCCAACCCAUGAGUGGGCGGUUUAAGGACCGGGUGUCUUGGGACGGGAACCCUGAGCGGUAUGAUGCCUCCAUCUUUCUCUGGAAACUGCAGUUCGAUGACAAUGGGACAUACACCUGCCAGGUGAAGAACCCACCUGAUGUUGAUGGGGUGAUAGGGGAGAUCCGGCUCAGCGUCGUGCACACUGUACGCUUCUCUGAGAUCCACUUCCUGGCUCUGGCCAUUGGCUCUGCCUGUGCACUGAUGAUCAUAAUAGUAAUUGUAGUGGUCCUCUUCCAGCAUUACCGGAAAAAGCGAUGGGCUGAAAGAGCUCAUAAAGUGGUGGAGAUAAAAUCAAAAGAAGAGGAAAGGCUCAACCAAGAGAAAAAGGUCUCUGUUUAUUUAGAAGACAUAGACUAACAUUUUUAGACGGAAGCUGAUGAUUUCCAAGAACAAGAACCCUAGUAUUUGUUGAAGUUAAUGGAAACUUUUCUUUGGCUUUUCCAGUUGUGACCUGUUUUCCAACCAGUUCUACCGCAUAUACAAGCAACAUCCCUCUGGAGCCAGCACAGUGCUCUUCCAUAUCACCAGUCAUACACAGCCUCAUUAUUAAGGUCUUAUUUAAUUUCAGAGUGUAAAUGUUUUCAAGUGCUCAUUAGGUUUUAUAAACAAGAAGCUACAUUUUUGCCCUUAAGACACUACUUACAGUGUUAUGACUUGUAUACACAUAUAUUGGUAUCAAAGGGGAUAAAAGCCAAUUUGUCUAUUAUAUUUCCUUUCAUUUAUUUCUUUUAGCAGCACUUCUGCUACUACAGUUAAUGUGUUUACUCUCUUUCCUUCCCAUAUUCUCAAUUAAAAGGUGAGCAAAGCCUCCUCGGUGUUUUUGACUAACAGUAAAUCGUAAAUUCAAACUGUUAAAUGACAUUUUGAUUUUUAUGUCUCUCCUUAACUAGGAGACACAUCUUGUUUCAAUGAAUUUCUUUCAAUAUUCCAGGUGAUAGAUUUUUGUUGUUGUUUUGUUAAUUAAUCUAAGAUUUACAAAAGCACAACGCUAAAUCACACAGUAACUACAAAAGGUUGCAUAGAUAUGAAAAGACUGGUAGAUGCCAUUGCAGGAUGAAUCACCUGUCACUUUUCUUCUGUGCUGGGAAAAAUAAUCAACAAUGCGGGUCUUUCAUGAGCAGUGACAGACUGUUUAGCUUACUAUGUUGCCCCCCAGUUCAAUGAUCUAUAAUAACAGAGCAAAGCCUAUGCUCUUUUGCAGACUGGAAUCAUUAAGCAGUUUAAUAAAAAUAUCGUGAAACAGUAUAUUACAAGUUUGAAAAUUCAGGGCUGGUGAAAAAAAUCAACUCUAAAUGAUGAUAAUUUUGUACAGUUUUAUAUAAAACUCUGAGAACUGGAAGAAAUUGUUAACUUUUUAAAAAAAUUCUAAUUCACUUGUUUAUUUUGGGGGAGGAAGGCUUUGAUAUGGAGCACAGAAAUACCAAAACUACUUUAAAUGGAAAAAAAAAAAAUUUUAUUCUUUCUUUCCCCUAUACUGGUAGAUAAAGCAAACUUUAUAAGUGGGCUAUUGAAAGAAAAGUGCCUUUUAAAAGUGUUUAGUUUCCCCGUGUCUUUUCCAAGCCUCAGAUACAGAAGUAUUUGUUCAAAGGAUAGAAAACAUCUAAAAGUUUAGGCUCAAGAUCAAUGUUUACAGACUGAUAUUUUCAGUUUUUAAUUGACUGGGCUGCAGAUGUUAUUUCUUUUAACAAACUGGAAUUUUCAAAUAUUAUCUGUAUUUAAAUGUAUGGACCUUGAUAUUUUUCCAAUACUAUUUUUUAAAAAAUUGUUUGAUCUACAUAUGAACCUCAAUUCUGAAAUUCAUUACAUAUCUGUUUCAUUCUGCCUUUUAUACUGUCUAAAAAAGCAAAGUUUUAAUGUGCAAUUUUAAAACUGUAAAUUACAUCUGAAGGCUAUAUAUCCUUUAAUCACAUUUUAUAUUUUUUCUUCACAAUUCUAACCUUUGAAAAUAUUAUAACUGGAUAUUUCUUCAAACAGAUGUCCUAGAUGAUGGUCCAUAAGAAUAAUGAAGAAGUAGUUAAAAAUGUAUGGACAGUUUUUUCAGCAAAAUUUGCAGCUUAUGUCUUGGCUAAAUAGUCAAGGGGUAAUAUGGGCCUAUUGUUUAGUGUCUCCUUCCUAAAGAGCACUUUUGUAUUGUAAUUUAUUUUUUAUUAUGCCUUAAACACUAUGUAAAUAAACCUUUAGUAAUAAAGAAUUAUCAAUUAUAUAAUUUGUGUAUAUACAUAUCUAAAAGUUCUACACUGCAGGGAAAACAGAUGGAUAUAUAUUUUAUCUUUACUGAAAAGUUUUCUUAGUAGAGACAACCUGCAAGUCAAUAAUGGAUACAUUAGUUUCUAAUGGGUAAACAGAAGUAUACGGAUUUCCACAGAAUUUUCACAUUGCUUUGGAUAGCUGGGAAUUGGGCAUAACAACACUAUUUAGUUUGAGCGUUCUUUCAAAGAAAAGUAUCAAAGAUUAUAUUUAGUACUUUGCAUUACAUUUUUAAUAGGGAAAACUACUGGCUUUCAAGUCUAGUAAAGGAAUGGAAAUUGAAAAAUGGAAACUUAUUCUUUCCCAAAGCGAAAGCAUACUUUUAUUCUCCUGCUUUCAUUGACACGUGGCUAUUUCCAGGGAAGAGGCUUACUGAUUAUUACAGCAGUGUACUUAUUGUACCAUCUCUUUUUCAGAAGUAUGUGACGCCACCUCACUUCAAGUACUGUGAUAACAUAACUUUCUUACUUUUCCAACCACAGACACACAAAUCCCAGUUCUCCUUUUCCUCUAAUACAGGCUAUAAUGAUUUGAUCAUCAUUGCCACUGCCAAAAGUAAUUUAAUAAACCCCCAAUUUUGGAUGCUGUGAUAGUUACCCUAAAAAGGACAACAACCAAUGAGGCUUGUGGCACAUAUCACUACCAGCGCCUAAUAUAUAUUUAUCUAUGCUGUAUGAUCUCCCAGGUGUUUCUGAACUCUAAAUUUACGGGAGCGUAUUCUGAGAACCUUCAACUAAAUCUCGAGACGUAAAAAACGAUGUCUGAUAUGCUGAGCAUCAAAAUUAUUUAGUUCUGCAGAAUUCCACAACAACAAACUUGUAAAUAUUUAAAGUCUGUAGCCUACUUCAUUUUCAAGCAAAAUAGAAAAAUUAGCUCCCGCCUGAAAGUUAAUGAAUCGCUGGUCAGUGAAACCAGGUGUGGUUCUGGAAAGAAGCCAGGUUCCUAUGGUAACUCCGGAUCGCCCUUUAAGUUGUCUCUCGGCCCCCUGCCCUGACGUCACUUCCGGCGUUACCUGUGUCGUUACUGGGAGCUGUAAACAAGGUGUGCAAGCAUCUGGAGAGCUGCCGGGAUGCAGCAGAGCGGAGUAGCUGGAGGCCGUGGCUGCGCUGUCUUCCCUCUGCUCGGCGUCCUGUUCUUCCAGGGUGUUUAUAUCGUCCUUUCCUUGGAGAUUCACGCAGAUGCCCAUGUCCGAGGUUAUGUUGGAGAAAAGAUCAAGUUGAAAUGCACUUUCAAGUCAACUUCAGAUGUCACUGACAAGCUUACCAUAGACUGGACAUAUCGCCCUCCCAGCAGCAGCCGCACAGUGUCAGUUUUGGCACCAUGCUUUCCUCUGUGGCCCUUCUUUCCAUCCUUGUCUUUGUGCCCUCAGCCAUGGUGGUUGCUCUGCUGCUGGUGAGAAUGGGGAGGAAGGCUGCUGGGCUGAAGAAGAGGAGCAGGUCUGGCUAUAAGAAGUCAUCUAUUGAGGUUUCAGAUGACACUGAUCAGGAGGAGGAAGAUGCAUGCAUGGUGAGGCUCUGUAUCCGUUGCGCUGAGUGCCUGGAUUCAGACUAUGAAGAGACAUAUUGAUAAAAGUCUGUACGACAUGAGAAGAGUCACCUAAUAACACGAAACAUCCCAUUCCACUGGCAGCUACCGCCUGUCAGAGAAGGGGAGCUGGCCUAGACCAUAGUGACGGACAAUCCUGGAGAUCAUCAGUAAAGACUUUAGGAACCACUUAUUUAUUGAAGAAAUGGUCUUGUAUUUAUAAACUGUUCAGGAACUCUCAUAAGAGACUCAUGACUCCACUUUCAAUAAAUUAUGCUGUAAUUGAAUGAAGAAAUUAUUUUCCUGAGCAAAAAGAUACUUUUUGAUUUGUCUUGGCUCUGGAAUGUAUUACAUGUUUUCUUCCAACUGUUUGAAGGAGAAUCCUGAAUGUUUGCCACACUGCUGAUGCCAAAAUGAUUUUUUCAAUGAAGUGGAGCUUAUGAUUUCCUGACGUGUCACCAGACAAAAUGUUUGCUUGGGAUAGGUGUUCUUUGUUCUUUGCUCCAUGUACACUUUCAGCUGGGAGUUAGUAUAGGGCAUAUACUCAUUGGUUGAAUCACCUCAACCUCAGUUGUGUUUGGAUAAUUUAGGGUGUAUAGCCUUAGUUUCCUUAGAGUUUUGGUAGGAUCAAGUCAUUGGUUUGCUUUGACUGGGUUUUUAAAGUAUUAAAUACAAUGUCAUCAAUUUACAGUUAAGGAAAGGAAUCAUGAAGUAGAAAAAUUAUUUUAUUUAGUCUUGCUGGUACAAUUUGGGCCAAGGAGUCUUUGUUAUUUUUUUUCUUUUUCUUUUCUUUUUUUUUUUUUAAGGCAGAGGCUCACUCUGUCGCCAGGCUGGAGUACAGUGGUGUGAUCUUGGCUCACUGCAACCUCUGCCUCCUGGGUUCAAGCGAUUCUCAUGCCUCAGCCUCCCAAGUAGCUGGGAUUACAGGCAUGCGCCACCAUACCCAGCUAAUUUUUGUAUUUUUAGUAGAGACAGGGUUUCACCAUUUUGGCCAGGAUGGUGUCAAUCCCCUGACCUCAUGAUCCACCCGCCUCGGCCUCCCAAAGUGUUUGGAUUACAGGCAUGAGCCACUGUGCCUGGCCUGUUGUUUUAUUUUCUUAUAACUACAACUUUUCUUCUUGACUUUUCAGGUCCGAGGCAAGAAAAACUCUUUACAGGUUUUUAGUGGGGGCUUAUGGAGUAUUUCAGGAGUUCUUUGCAAUUAAAUCAUCUUUUCACUUGUAUUGUCUUUCAAAACUUUGUUGAUUUCUAAAAUGCACCAACUAUGAGUAACUAUGGUAUUUGCAAGCGGUUUUUACAAAAUAUUUGAGAUGAGGAAGUGAGAUUAUGCAUAACAUACUUAUCCUUUCUGUUCUCUCAGUGCCUUACAACAGGUUACUCCAUUCUGCUAUGACAACUUGUUUCAAAUGUUAAUUUAUGUAGGAUUUUUUAUAAGCCAUUAAGGCAUAUGUAUAGCAUAUCAGUAAAGAUGGAUAGUGCAUAUAUAAAUAGUCCUCUGUAAUAGCGAUUGAAUUUACUUCUCAAUUAUGAGAGACAAAAAUUAUCCCCUCACCUGUCUCUAUUCUUUCAAUAGGUUGAUCCCUUAUCAUGGUUUUUCAUUAGUUGGUUAGGAAGUUUCCAUAUUACAGCACUUUAGACUGUAUAUGUUAGUUUAAAAAUCAUUUUUCUCUCUCUCUCAAUUUCUUUUUUUUUUUUUUUUGCAAAGACCUAAUUUUAAAAAUUUGGGUUAUUAGAUCUGUAUCAUAGAUUUGGCGUGGCCUCUUCUGUUAACCUAGUCCACAGAUUAGUGAAUCUGGUUAGUUGAAGGACAUUGUGAUUUGACUCUGGUCAUGUGAGGAAGUAGAAGAGGCAAAGACAGGAACGGCAGUUUACAUUUCCACUGGUUAAACCUCACGGUACUUUGGGGGGCUGCUUGUUAACUUAUGUGGUUAUCUGAGGCCAAUCUAACGUGACCAUUUCUGACACCUCAACAGAGAGAGAAAAGCAACUUGAGCAAUGACAGUAAAUAAUUUGGGCUCUCAGAGAUUUGAAGAUAGAGACCUAAUUGUGAGGGGGACUAUUUUGUGGGUCCUCAUUUCUCCGCGAAAGAGAUGAUGUUACAGGAACCCACUGAAAGCCACAUCCCAUUAAAUGAGGAACCGGUUUUAGCUGGGCCUUCUUGUAAUGUCCUUGCAGGUGUGUUGUGAAGAUUAAUGCAGGGUGCUAUGUUUGUAGAUUGACACCUAGUCUAAACUUGAGGUAAUUGGUGCUCUAUGAAUACUCAGUCAUGUUAUUUUAUAGCCUUAAUCAUGAUUUGAACUAGUCCCUUCCUUUUUAAAUGACUGAAUGGAGUCCGUCGUGGUAAGGGGAGUACAUUGAUAAUUUAGUUUACUUCAUGGGUUUGUGGUCACAUCCCAGUCAUCAGCUGCUAUCAUUUUCCUUCUUCAUCCCUUAUGUUGAGAUUUGGGUUACAGCUUUUUAUUCUGUGAAGGAUCACGAAGUAGUGUACGGACACCUGCCUUCUUUAAGGAUGAAAGGAAGAUAAAGUGUUUUUUUUUGUUUGUUUACUUGUUUGUUUCACCUAUUGUUUGAGUAACUUCUAAGGUGCUAUUCUCUCUCUCUUUUUGCUACCCCAUGAGCUCUUGUCACAGCCAUGGAAACCAGCCUUGUUUAGAAAGGGAACUUAGUUCAGAAGGGGUUAAAAGCCUCCCAGAGUUUUCCUUUAGCUGCUGAAGUUUUUACUUGUGGUUACAUGACCUUAAGUUUUAUGCAUUAGGCUCUUAAUUCUAUUACAAAAUGUGAACUUACCAAUUGCUUUGUGUUUUCCAUGUGACCUGUUACUUCAGGCUACUUGGGGAACAUCUUAGUCCUCUGUAGCUCCUGAACCCAGCACUGGUGCUUCAAGAGAGAAGGUAGCCCGUCUUUGUUCAAAACAAAACAAAACACCACUUCUGGAGGCCAUAUCCUGAAUAUGAAUGUUCUACUAAGUCACUCAGUUAUGGUUCUAAAGGGAAACCAUAAGAAGACCCACAAGGAGUGGACCAAGACUAUUAUUUAAUUGCACAACUUGAAACUUUGCUGCCAGAAGAGGCAGCUCCAUUCCUUUGACUCCAUUGUUGGGCUGUUAACUGCUGCACGUCAUUGACUUUUUUGGUUUUUGUGUUUUUGUAGGAGGGUAGGCGCUGUUGGGCCAUAUGCACAGAUAUUGUAACUCUUGGUGUCUUUACUGCAUCAUAGUCAAUAAACUUCUUUGCACCCUUUG